Molecule: transfer RNA, 71 nt
Filed under: Loxodonta africana (African savanna elephant)
Lineage: Eukaryota; Metazoa; Chordata; Mammalia; Proboscidea; Elephantidae
Rfam family: tRNA
About the family: Transfer RNA (tRNA) molecules are approximately 80 nucleotides in length.
Source: Rfam by way of RNAcentral
GCAGUGGGGGUUCAGUGGCGGAACUCUCAUUUUCCAUGUGGAAGACCCAGGUUCAAAUCCCAGCCAAUGUA